UGGGCAGGCCGGAUGGUCGCCCCUGGCUGAUUUGCUUCGUUCUCUAGAACAGAAGCAAAUCAAUACGCCUGGGGAGGAAAGUCCGAGCUCCAAAGGACAGCGUAGCGGGUAACACCCGUCCGCCGCAAGGCGAGGAUAAUCCCGGGGCUAGUAAUAGCCGCAGGAUCCCGAUGCCGGACUUCUCCGAAGUCCUGGCUCGGGAGAGCCACAGUGACGAACAAUCCCAUGCGGAAGGCCUGACGGCCUUAACGCAGGGACGAAGUGAAACGCGGCAAUCUCUACGCGGAGCAAGGCCAAAUAGGCGCAUCUCUUGGGGCUGUCCGCUCCAGGCCCGCAAGGGCGGAUGCGCGGGUUGGCUGCUUGAGCCCCGGAGUAAUCCGGGGUCUAGAUGGAUGACCAUCCCCAGCGUAUUGAUUUACUUCUGGCCGAGAGGCCGAAGUAAAUCUGCAGGGGACGAAACUCGGCUUAUAGGCCUGCCCAAAAU
Molecule: RNase P RNA, 484 nt
Filed under: Candidatus Omnitrophota bacterium
Lineage: Bacteria; Pseudomonadati; Candidatus Omnitrophota
Description: RNase P RNA component class A
Rfam family: Bacterial RNase P class A
About the family: Ribonuclease P (RNase P) is a ubiquitous endoribonuclease, found in archaea, bacteria and eukarya as well as chloroplasts and mitochondria. Its best characterised activity is the generation of mature 5'-ends of tRNAs by cleaving the 5'-leader elements of precursor-tRNAs.
Source: RNAcentral